Molecule: ribosomal RNA, 373 nt
Filed under: uncultured eukaryote
Lineage: Eukaryota
Description: partial 18S ribosomal RNA
Rfam family: Eukaryotic small subunit ribosomal RNA
Source: RNAcentral
CAAUAGCGUAUAUUAAAGUUGUUGCAGUUAAAAAGCUCGUAGUUGGAUUUCUGGGAAGGCGCCAAUGGUUGGCUUCUUGCUUUCGCAGCGGCGCCUUUCCAUCCUUCUGUUAGCGCCUCUUGGCAUUCAUUUGCUGGUGGCGGGCUCAGAUAUUUUACCUUGAGAAAAUUAGAGUGUUUCAGGCAGGCUAAGCCGGAAUACAUUAGCAUGGAAUAAUGGAAUAGGACUGAGGUCUCUUUGUUGGUUUGAGGGACUCCAGUAAUGAUUAAUAGGGACAGUUGGGGGCAUUAGUAUUUAUUAGUCAGAGGUGGAAUUCUAUGAUUUGAUAAAGACUAACUUAUGCGAAAGCAUUUGCCAAGGAUGUUUUCAUUAA